UCAGUUUGUUGUAUGUUCCAAAUUGCUGUUUUAUUUGCUGAAAAGUUUUUAUAAAGCUUUGAUUUUACUGUUUGUAAAGGAGAGUAAGUUAGCUGCAACUAAUGUAGUCUAAAUUCAGUCUCAAUCAUUCUAAUUCUUUUAUUAUCAAUUUAUUCAAGAAUUCUUACAAAAGAUACCCAAGAUCCCAUGUCCUUCUUUAUCAAAAGCGUUACUCCAGGAAGGCUACAGCAAAGAAGCAUCUGGAAGUAUUAGGAGCAAGUUCCAGUGACUGAGAUUCAUUAAAAUUUCUGAGGACACAAAACACCUUGGUUUUUAACUUGAAGGUCUGGAGUAUUCCAAACUUAGAAACAUGCUACUGCUGCAUUUGAGGAAGGAUUAGAACAUAUCACCCAAUGUAUGCAAGUCUGAAAUGAGAGAAGAUUGUAUCAGGAUAUUGUUGGCAAGGUUGCCAUCUAAAUCAGCUGAUGGUCUCCUUUGUCUGCAAAAAUGGAAAACAGAAAAAAUCAUGAAACGAAGAGUGACCUUUGAGACUAAGGAGGAGAAUAUCCGCUGAUCUGCCUCUUGAAGGAGGGAGCUGUUGGCAUAAAAGGAAAUAAAGACAGCUUUGAAAGCAUUUAUCCGUCGCAGAUGAAGAGCGGGAUGCACUGUAAUGCUCACAUUGACUUUUUAAAAAAAAGUAUUUCAGAAAAUGAGCCAUGGUGAAUGCAUUAUGUAUCUGUUGGGCUUUGAACUUGAAGUUCCCAUUUUAUAAAACAAAGCUUUGUGCCCUGAUUCAUAUGUAUUAGGGUGUGAUGGAAGUCUUACUGACAGGGAUAUUUACUACUAGGAAAGAAAAUGAAUUAGUAAUUUACGAUCAGAUCAAGUUUACUAUGAAUGUACUGUUAGAAAAAAAAAAAAAGGAAUAAACUUCUUUCCCAUCCACACUCCUCUUCAUCUCCACAGUGCAAAAGACACAAGUUCAAGGCUUCUACGGACUGUUACUAGUGGGUAGUUCUGGAAAUCCCAUCUGUCUAAAAAUACUGUCUAAGAGAAAAUUGUAGAACAGAUAUGAAAACAGAGAAACUAAGAGCAGAAAAUCAAGAAAAUCUGAAGAGAAACAGCUUAAAAAUGUAACAGCUAAGAAAUAAAAUUGAGAAAUAGAUUUGAUAAAAAAUUGUAAUUCAGGCUGCUCUUCUGCUUCUUCAUUCCUAGGAAGUAAUUAUUUUAAAGCUGAGAUGCUCUUGGAAGCCUUCCUAAUUUUGGCAAAUCUAAAUACAAAGGAGAACUUCAACUUGUUUAUCUUUGCCAAGCCUAUACUAAAUAAUGUAUGCUUUGCGUAACAAUUGAACAUAUCUGGAUUUCUGCUUUCCUGGCUGUAAUUGUACAGUCAUGCAAGACAUUUCUUAUAUUAAAAGGAAUCUGUAAAAAGAACCAGUAGCAACAACUCUUUGAAGCUUUCUUAUGGACUACACAAUUUCAUGUUGUACUUAGUUGUGAAUGUAACACUGAAACUGGAAAGGUUUUCUCCUCAUAUUUAACUAGCUUUAUGGAGAGGAAAGCUGAUACUUGCUUUGUUAGUCAUAACUACAGUCUAUUAAACACUGUGCAGUAGUGACAGAUGCCCACCCAUCCCAGAUUAAUGGACCCAACCUGAUCAAUCUUUGUCACUGAGAAGAAAGCAGCAGAGUCUAAUGUUGUUCCAGUGAGUGUACCCAGACUGCACACUGGGUUACAGAAAUGAAUGCACUGAAGUUUUGAUAUUGAGGAGGAUGGUAAUGAUCUUCAUGCCCAACUUUCUGAGGCUUAUCAGCAUCCUUACUCCAUAUCAUGUGGGAUGUCUCCAAAUAUGUGGCUUUCUCACUCAACAGCAAACUAGUUGACUGUAGGGAUAAAUUCAGGGCUCUACUCUCUAGAGCUGCUGAUCUAAGCACUUCUACUGAGCUAUAAUAGAUUAAACAAAGAAAAAAUCAUGAAAUCAAUAAAUCCAAACAGUGAAUUUUAGCAUUAAUUUACUACCUAAUCAGUGGAGUAACCAUGGGAUUGCUACCCUCCAAAAUCUAGAUAUCAGCCUGCAUCACAGAUGUGAUGUGAACUGUUGUCAGCGACUGCUGAAGAUUAGUGUAUUAACGUGUCCUUAAAUUCCUUGAUAAAAUUGGGCAGAGUUAUACUUGGAGAAGCCUGGCCCAACGACAUGGUCAAAGGGGCAUGCUCAACAAAUCAGUUUCCUGUGAAAGGUCAGGAGUUCCUCAGAAUCUGUUGGAUUCACAGGGAAAACAAAUCUUUAGAAGGAGAAAGAUGGGGGACAAGAGACAAAGAUGAAAGCUUGAUAUAACAUUAUGCACUGUUAACUUGUAAAUUUGCCAGUCCCUCUUGUACCUGCCCAUUAACGGUACCCAUAGCUGUGUGCUAUAGAAACAAUCAAAUUGUAAUAUAUAAAUGUCAAAGAACAGUAUUAAUAACUAGUUCAUUAAGGCUAGAAGUUCUGGCAACUGUUAAGACGUUUCAACUUUUAUGGAACACAGUUUAUUUUUGCUCUUACACCUAUAUGUAAAAACGGGCAUUUUCUAACAAACACCAUCCUUCAGGAAGGCCUGCUGAAUCAGAAGUAAAUUUGUUUUUCAUUCAUCUCGACAUAAAGGUCAGGAUACUAACGCUUCAGCAUUUCAGGGUUUUACGGUUUUCCCUGGAGGUGUUCACCCUGGAGGCGCGUAGAUGUGGCACUUCAGGACAUGGUUUAGGAGACACGGUACUGUUGGGCUGACGGUUGGACUUGAUGAUCCUAGAGGUCUUUUCCAACCUUAAUGAUUACAUGAUUCUAAGGCUGAUAGUAACUUAACUGAGUACAUCAGCUUUGCAUCUGUCUGGAGGUUUCAAAACCUGCAAGGGGCCUCAUGGUGCAUUUUGCACUUAAGAAAAGCAGGAAGUGUUUUUAUUUUAGAUAUUUAAGAAACACUGUGAGCCUUUUUGCACAAAUAAGGAAAACAUCCACUUGUGAGCACCAGAGACACUAAGGUCAGUGACAGGAUCAGAAGCUCUCACAUUUUAUACAAGACAUCAUUAAUAGAAUGCCUGCCUGUUGAGCCCUAUUUACCACUAUCAGCCACUGCAACGAAGCCUGUUACUUCAAUGCAUUUAAAAACAUUCAGCAAUUAAAAAAUUAACAGUUAAUAUUUUAUAAGUGUCCCGAAUAAUUUUUUAAUCUACUUCCCUCAAUGAUAAUGAACAGGAGCAGUUCAUACACUCUGUUUUUCAAACACUGCAGACUCGGGCAGAUGGCUCCAUACUGAUUUACAUUGUAUUGUGUGUUCAAAGGUUUCCCCUUCGCUUUCUCUUCUUCCCCCUCACUCCAUCCCUCCCCUCUGAUACACAUACUCACCCAUGUACAUCCCAAGUCUCAGAUAUACCAGUGUGAGUGGAAAGCUAAGAUUCUGAGGUAUGUAUUAAAUGAAUUGAAAGUGACCACCGAUACAAGCUUAAUAAAUUAUGUUGCCUCUAUGGCUCUGGUGUUUUAAAAAAAUAUUAAGUUCUGAUGAGUAAAAUAGAUAUUGAGGAGGACAACAACUCUCAGGUCUCUAAGGCUGGAGCCACAGUUUACUGUAGGGACCUCACUCCAUUUUGACUGAGUUGUGUGAGAAAGCAUUGCCAAACGCAAGCCUCCCUCCUUGAUCAUACAGAUACUGAGUCACCACCCCUGGAGGUAUUUAAAAGAUGUGCAGCUGUGGUGCUUAGGGACAUUGUUUAGUGGUGGACUUGGCAGUGUUAGGUCAACAGUUGGACUCGAUGAUCUUAAAGGUCUUUUCCAACCAGAAAGAUUCUGUUCUAUGAUUCCAUAAAAAAAGUCACCGAUUGAUGACUCAUUGCAGUGACCUCAGAACUACAAAAAGAAAUCCUCUGUGCACCUAGGAUACCCUGAUUUUUACUAGCAGCUAGAUGCAGGCCUAGGGUAUGCCCAGGAGCGUAACUAUUCAGGAGUGAUUAAGAGGAGGGGUCAUCUGAUACUUUUCUUGUCAAUGUCUUCAGACUACCUCUCUGAUGCACAAUUUAUUCAUCAUUACUGUCCAUCAAAUAACCGUAUGCCUUCCACCCUCUUGUAUGAUGACAAGAAGGUCCACUAAAAAUAAAUAUUUUCCUCCAGUAAUUUCAAACAUCAUACAAAUGGGAAAAGAAAUGCAAAUCCAGCUUUUUAGGAGAAAGACGUAAUUUAAAAGAUUUUAAAGAGAAAUUUCCAAGCUACUUUUUUUCAGAUUUUAUCUUUAUUUAAUAGCUUAGUGACCUCCGCUAGAUAUCUGAGACAUAAGUGACAGCCUUCUGUCCUUAAUUAACUAAUUAGUAAAGUUGCCAUUACAGAUAGGAUGAGUAAAUUUUUUUUUUUUUUAAAUCAAGGAUUAUUAAAAUUUUGCAUGUAUUCUCUCUGAGUGCCUGACAUACACAGUUAAAACCAUUGGGAGUAAAUCUGAAUCUGACAAAUGUUAAUGGAACGUAAACAGUGCAACAAAUGUGUUUAGAAACCCUAAUGGAUAUUUGACAAAUUUUCUAUCUACAUUACCAAGCAGCCUGUAGAACAAAGCUGUUAAAUUAUACCAAUGAUUAAACUGUUUAUCUCUAAGUAGCUUUUUCCCCCUUCUAUAAAUGUCGAAGUUAUUUAAAUGUCUUUUUACAAAUGGGCAACAGAAACCAAGAUGCAGCACGGUUGCCCAAGGUGAAAUUAGGUAAAUCAGCUGAAAAGUUAAAAAUGGAACCUGGAUCUUCUCACUUCUAAUUUU
Non-coding RNA from Phalacrocorax carbo (great cormorant), 4742 nucleotides. The record is from RefSeq and is a predicted model, not a curated record. Lineage: Eukaryota; Metazoa; Chordata; Aves; Suliformes; Phalacrocoracidae.